GACGAACGCUGGCGGCGUGCUUAACACAUGCAAGUCGAACGGAAAGGCCCUGCUUUUGUGGGGUGCUCGAGUGGCGAACGAGUGAGUAACACGUGAGUAACCUGCCCUUGACUUUGGGAUAACUUCAGGAAACUGGGGCUAAUACCGGAUAGGAGCUCCUGCUGCAUGGUGGGGGUUGGAAAGUUUCGGCGGUUGGGGAUGGACUCGCGGCUUAUCAGCUUGUUGGUGGGGUAGUGGCUUACCAAGGCUUUGACGGGUAGCCGGCCUGAGAGGGUGACCGGCCACAUUGGGACUGAGAUACGGCCCAGACUCCUACGGGAGGCAGCAGUGGGGAAUAUUGCACAAUGGGCGGAAACCUGAUGCAGCAACGCCGCGUGCGGGAUGACGGCCUUCGGGUUGUAAACCGCUUUCGCCUGUGACGAAGCGUGAGUGACGGUAAUGGGUAAAGAAGCACCGGCUAACUACGUG
Molecule: ribosomal RNA, 468 nt
Filed under: uncultured bacterium
Lineage: Bacteria
Description: partial 16S ribosomal RNA
Rfam family: Bacterial small subunit ribosomal RNA
Source: RNAcentral